This 496-nucleotide ribosomal RNA is filed under the name uncultured bacterium. Its description in RNAcentral is "partial 16S ribosomal RNA". It matches the Rfam family "Bacterial small subunit ribosomal RNA", at positions 29 to 507 of the family's 1533-position model. The record is from RNAcentral.
AUGAACGCUGGCGGCGUGCCUCAUACAUGCAAGUCGAGCGCACGGACGAGAAGCUUGCUUCUCUGAUGUUAGCGGCGGACGGGUGAGUAACACGUGGAUAACCUACCUAUAAGACUGGGAUAACUUCGGGAAACCGGAGCUAAUACCGGAUGAUAUUUUGAACCGCAUGGUUCAAAAGUGAAAGACGGUCUUGCUGUCACUUAUAGAUGGAUCCGCGCUGCAUUAGCUAGUUGGUAAGGUAACGGCUUACCAAGGCAACGAUGCAUAGCCGACCUGAGAGGGUGAUCGGCCACACUGGAACUGAGACACGGUCCAGACUCCUACGGGAGGCAGCAGUAGGGAAUCUUCCGCAAUGGGCGAAAGCCUGACGGGGCAACGCCGCGUGAGUGAUGAAGGUCUUCGGAUCGUAAAACUCUGUUAUUAGGGAAGAACAUAUGUGUAAGUAACUGUGCACAUCUUGACGGUACCUAAUCAGAAAGCCACGGCUAACUACGUG